GCAUAUCAAUAAGCGGAGGAAAAGAAACCAACAGGGAUUGCCCUAGUAACGGCGAGUGAAGCGGCAACAGCUCAAAUUUGAAAUCUGGCUCUCUUUGGGGGUCCGAGUUGUAAUUUGCAGAGGAUGCUUUGGCAUUGGCGGCGGUCUAAGUUCCUUGGAACAGGACAUCACAGAGGGUGAGAAUCCCGUACGUGGUCGCCUGCCUUUGCCGUGUAAAGCUCCUUCGACGAGUCGAGUUGUUUGGGAAUGCAGCUCUAAAUGGGAGGUAAAUUUCUUCUAAAGCUAAAUACUGGCCAGAGACCGAUAGCGCACAAGUAGAGUGAUCGAAAGAUGAAAAGUACUUUGGAAAGAGAGUCAAAAAGCACGUGAAAUUGUUGAAAGGGAAGCGCUUGCAGCCAGACUUGCCCGCAGUUGCUCACCUAGGCUUUGGCCUGGGGCACUCUUCUGCGGGCAGGCCAGCAUCAGUUUGGGCGGUUGGAUAAAGGCCUCUGUCACGUAUCUCCCUUCGGGGUGACCUUAUAGGGGAGGCGCAAUGCAACCAGCCCGGACUGAGGUCCGCGCAUCUGCUAGGAUGCUGGCGUAAUGGCUGUAAGCGGCCCGUCUUGAAACACGGACCAAGGAGUCUAACAUCUAUGCGAGUGUUUGGGUGUCAAGCCCGAGCGCGCAAUGAAAGUGAACGGAGGUGGGAACCCUUUGGGUGCACCAUCGACCGAUCCUGAUGUCUUCGGAUGGAUUUGAGUAAGAGCAUAGCUGUUGGGACCCGAAAGAUGGUGAACUAUGCUUGAAUAGGGUGAAGCCAGAGGAAACUCUGGUGGAGGCUCGCAGCGGUUCUGACGUGCAAAUCGAUCGUCAAAUUUGGGCAUAGGGGCGAAAGACUAAUCGAACCAUCUAGUAGCUGGU
RNAcentral lists this ribosomal RNA (900 nucleotides) under Paraphaeosphaeria sporulosa. RNAcentral describes it as "eukaryotic LSU rRNA". It matches the Rfam family "Eukaryotic large subunit ribosomal RNA", at positions 38 to 955 of the family's 3401-position model. The record is from RNAcentral. Lineage: Eukaryota; Fungi; Ascomycota; Dothideomycetes; Pleosporales; Didymosphaeriaceae.